This 394-nucleotide ribosomal RNA is filed under the name uncultured bacterium. Its description in RNAcentral is "partial 16S ribosomal RNA". It matches the Rfam family "Bacterial small subunit ribosomal RNA", at positions 523 to 918 of the family's 1533-position model. The record is from RNAcentral.
AUACGUAGGGGACGAGCGUUGUCCGGAAUUACUGGGCGUAAAGGGCGCGCAGGCGGAUAUUUAAGUCAGCUGUAAAAGGCAUGAGCUCAACUCAUGUAUGCGGUUGAAACUGGGUAUCUAGAGUGCUGGAGAGGUAGGCGGAAUUCCCGGUGUAGCGGUGGUAUGCGUAGAUAUCGGGAAGAACACCAGUGGCGAAGGCGGCUUACUGGCCAGCAACUGACGCUGAGGCGCGAAAGCCAGGGGAGCGAACGGGAUUAGAUACCCCGGUAGUCCUGGCCGUAAACGAUGAAUGCUAGGUGUGGGUGUCGAGAGGCAUCCGUGCCGGAGUUAACGCGAUAAGCAUUCCGCCUGGGGAGUACGAUCGCAAGAUUGAAACUCAAAGGAAUUGACGGGG